RNAcentral lists this ribosomal RNA (381 nucleotides) under uncultured bacterium. Its description in RNAcentral is "bacterial SSU rRNA". It matches the Rfam family "Bacterial small subunit ribosomal RNA", at positions 32 to 396 of the family's 1533-position model. The record is from RNAcentral.
AAUCAACGCUGGCGGCGUGCCUAACACAUGCAAGUCGAACGCGAAAAGGGCUUCGGCUCUUAGUAGAGUGGCGAACGGGUGAGUAACACGUGGGUGACCUACCUUCGAAUGGGGAGUAACGUCCCGAAACGGGACGCUAAUACCGCAUAACAUCCUGCCUUUGAACAGGUGGAGAUCAAAGCCGGGGAUCGCAAGACCUGGCGUUUGAAGAGGGGCCCGCGUCUGAUUAGCUAGUUGGUGAGGAACGGCCCACCAAGGCGACGAUCAGUAUCCGGCCUGAGAGGGCGGACGGACACACUGGGACUGAGACACGGCCCAGACUCCUACGGGAGGCAGCAGUGGGGAAUUGUUCGCAAUGGGCGCAAGCCUGACGACGCAACG